This 253-nucleotide ribosomal RNA is filed under the name uncultured bacterium. RNAcentral's name for it is "partial 16S ribosomal RNA". It matches the Rfam family "Bacterial small subunit ribosomal RNA", at positions 524 to 776 of the family's 1533-position model. The record is from RNAcentral.
UACGUAGGGUGCAAGCGUUAAUCGGAAUUACUGGGCGUAAAGCGUGCGCAGGCGGUUCGUUGUGUCGGCGGUGAAAGCCCCGGGCUUAACCUGGGAAUGGCCGUUGAAACUGGCGAACUGGAGUGUGGCAGAGGGGGGUGGAAUUCCGGGUGUAGCGGUGGAAUGCGUAGAGAUCCGGAGGAAGACCGGUGGCGAAGGCGGUCUGCUGGGCAGUUUCUGGCACUGAGGCGCGACAGCGUGGGGAGCAAACAGG